GACGAACGCUGGGGCGUGCUUAACACAUGCAAGUCGCACGGAAAGGCCCUGCUUUUGUGGGGUGCUCGAGUGGCGAACGGGUGAGUAACACGUGAGUAACCUGCCCUUGACUUUGGGAUAACUUCAGGAAACUGGGGCUAAUACCGGAUAGGAGCUCCUGCUGCAUGGUGGGGGUUGGAAAGUUUCGGCGGUUGGGGAUGGACUCGCGGCUUAUCAGCUUGUUGGUGGGGUAGUGGCUUACCAAGGCUUUGACGGGUAGCCGGCCUGAGAGGGUGACCGGCCACAUUGGGACUGAGAUACGGCCCAGACUCCUACGGGAGGCAGCAGUGGGGAAUAUUGCACAAUGGGCGGAAGCCUGAUGCAGCAACGCCGCGUGCGGGAUGACGGCCUUCGGGUUGUAAACCGCUUUCGCCUGUGACGAAGCGUGAGUGACGGUAAUGGGUAAAGAAGCACCGGCUAACUACGUG
RNAcentral lists this ribosomal RNA (467 nucleotides) under uncultured bacterium. RNAcentral's name for it is "partial 16S ribosomal RNA". It matches the Rfam family "Bacterial small subunit ribosomal RNA", at positions 28 to 507 of the family's 1533-position model. The record is from RNAcentral.